CCACGCGAUUCCUCCAUCCUCUGGCAAGUCGCGACAACGGACGCCGCUCCACCCCCCACGACAGACUCCACGUGGCAUGUCCCGGUGAUAGCCACGAUUUCACUCCACUACUCUUCGCAACAAACUCCUCCUGACCGUGGGCAGCCCACUGCCGGACGGUUACAAAUAUCGCUAUCAGUCUGUUGCUCCCUCCGCCUAUAAAAGAGGUGACCCC
This 214-nucleotide long non-coding RNA is filed under the name Elaeis guineensis (African oil palm). RNAcentral's name for it is "long non-coding RNA (EGUI_LNC076647)". The record is from RNAcentral. Lineage: Eukaryota; Viridiplantae; Streptophyta; Magnoliopsida; Arecales; Arecaceae.